This 63-nucleotide transfer RNA is filed under the name Lacticaseibacillus paracasei subsp. paracasei. RNAcentral's name for it is "tRNA-Ala". Lineage: Bacteria; Bacillati; Bacillota; Bacilli; Lactobacillales; Lactobacillaceae. The record is from RNAcentral.
UUAGCUCCCUGGGAGAGCGCCUGCUUUGCAAGCAGGAGGUCAUCGGUUCGAUCCCGUGGCGAC